CUGAAUGUUGACCUCGGAUCAGGUAGGAAUACCCGCUGAACUUAAGCAUAUCAAUAAGCGGAGGAA
This 66-nucleotide ribosomal RNA is filed under the name Fusarium tricinctum. RNAcentral describes it as "partial 28S ribosomal RNA". The stretch from base 9 to 66 matches the Rfam family "Eukaryotic large subunit ribosomal RNA", at positions 1 to 58 of the family's 3401-position model. The record is from RNAcentral. Lineage: Eukaryota; Fungi; Ascomycota; Sordariomycetes; Hypocreales; Nectriaceae.